Molecule: unclassified non-coding RNA, 859 nt
Filed under: Lacticaseibacillus paracasei
Lineage: Bacteria; Bacillati; Bacillota; Bacilli; Lactobacillales; Lactobacillaceae
Description: Lactobacillus paracasei partial contains 16S ribosomal RNA, 16S-23S ribosomal RNA intergenic spacer, and 23S ribosomal RNA
Rfam family: Bacterial large subunit ribosomal RNA (bases 334-859)
Source: RNAcentral
GAAGCCGGUGGCGUAACCCUUUUAGGGAGCGAGCCGUCUAAGGUGGGACAAAUGAUUAGGGUGAAGUCGUAACAAGGUAGCCGUAGGAGAACCUGCGGCUGGAUCACCUCCUUUCUAAGGAAACAGACUGAAAGUCUGACGGAAACCUGCACACACGAAACUUUGUUUAGUUUUGAGGGGAUCACCCUCACGCACCCUAACGGGUGCGACUUUGUUCUUUGAAAACUGGAUAUCAUUGUAUUAAUUGUUUUAAAUUGCCGAGAACACAGCGUAUUUGUAUGAGUUUCUGAAAAAGAAAUUCGCAUCGCAUAACCGCUGACGCAAGUCAGUACAGGUUAAGUUACAAAGGGCGCACGGUGGAUGCCUUGGCACUAGGAGCCGAUGAAGGACGGAACUAAUACCGAUAUGCUUCGGGGAGCUAUAAGUAAGCUUUGAUCCGGAGAUUUCCGAAUGGGGGAACCCAGUACACAUCAGUGUAUUGCUUGUCAGUGAAUACAUAGCUGGCCGGCGGCAGACGCGGGGAACUGAAACAUCUCAGUACCCGCAGGAAGAGAAAGAAAACUCGAUUCCCAUAGUAGCGGCGAGCGAAGUGGGAAGAGCCCAAACCGAGAAGCUUGCUUCUCGGGGUUGUAGGACUGGACAUUGGAGUUACCAAAGUCCGACGUAGUCGAAGUCAGCUGGAAAGCUGCGCCACAGAAGGUGAAAGCCCUGUAAGCGAAACGUCGAACCCUCCGUCCAGGAUCCUGAGUACGGCGGAACACGUGAGAUUCCGUCAGAAUCCGGGAGGACCAUCUCUCAGGGCUAAAUACUCUCUAGUGACCGAUAGUGAACCAGUACCGUGAGGAGAGGCGAAAAAAGG